RNAcentral lists this non-coding RNA (30 nucleotides) under Mus musculus (house mouse). The record is from RNAcentral. Lineage: Eukaryota; Metazoa; Chordata; Mammalia; Rodentia; Muridae.
UAUGACGACAUUGUGCCUUGAUUGCCAGAG